GUUCUUCUCUCUACCUGCAAGGGGAGGCUUGCCUCAUGGUGGUCGUGGCCUUUUUACCCUGGUCGAGGAACUUUAGAGUUCUAAGUUCAGCUAGGGUUUGUGUUCUAAAUGUAUAUGGAGUACUUGGGGGCAAAAACAACUGAGAAGAUUGGAACUAAGAGUUGAUUUCCAUUUAUUACUUGACUGUUGCCUUUUGCAAGUCAAUGUUUUACUUCAAGCAUGGACAAAGCUCUCUGACGAUUGAACUCUGCUGUGGAUCAUCUUGCCACUUAAAGUACUUUUUUCUCUAUUCAUAUUCAACAAAGACUAAAAAAAGCUUAUGGUCCUAAUUGAUGAGAAACCAAGGACUGUGCUUUAUGUGAUGGACUGUAUUUCUUAUCCUAUCCUCGGUUCUGUUUUAUGUUGAUUUCUAUCCGGUUGAAUAAUGAAGUUUUGUGUGACUAUGUUUAAUACAUUUGACCCAUGAGUGA
Carassius auratus (goldfish) is the source of this 470-nucleotide long non-coding RNA. RefSeq lists it as uncharacterized. The record is from RefSeq and is a predicted model, not a curated record. The transcript has 2 exons. Lineage: Eukaryota; Metazoa; Chordata; Actinopteri; Cypriniformes; Cyprinidae.